Vidua chalybeata is the source of this 5879-nucleotide RNA transcript. It is a transcript of the gene named leptin receptor, with no coding region annotated. The transcript is spliced from 20 exons. Lineage: Eukaryota; Metazoa; Chordata; Aves; Passeriformes; Viduidae. The record is from RefSeq and is a predicted model, not a curated record.
CCGGGGCUCGCCGUCGGAGCAGCACCGUGACAGCGUCUCUUCAGCCGCCAGUCGGAGCCCCGAGAGCAAGGAGAGCAGGUCAGCUCUACAAAACAAGAUGUGUUGGCAAAUCAUCCCAACCAUGGUUGUGCUGAUGGACUUCCUUCAGAUGGCAGCUGCCCAUUGCAUGGUCCAUCCAGUUCCUCCCAGGAAUUUCACACUGCCCUGUGUGCUGCUGAAUGAGACCUUUUUGAGCCCUUUCUCAGCUGGGAGCUGGUCUGGUUUGAGGAGAGAACUUGGAGCACCCAAAAUCAAGCCUUUAAUGAAUGAAGAAAAUUUUCUGUGUUGCCUUUGGAGUGCCAGCAGCAUUGAUUGUUCUUUGUACAGAGCAAGGAUGCAGGCAAGGAAGUUUAUUCCUUCAGAAAUAAAUCUCUCUGCUCCUCAGAAAAUAGACUGGAGCUGGAACAUGGAGUGUUGGAUUAGAGGCAGGCUGGACCUGUUGGUUUGUAACCUGCAGCUUUUGAAGCUGGACCUGAGGGCUGACCUGAAGGUGAAUCUUUUAUACUCUGGGUCAGAGCUGUCCCUGGGGGCUGCAUCCACGAGCUCUCUGCAGGGGACAGUGAGGGUGGCUCCGUGUGACUGCGGGGACCAGGCCACCUGCCAGUGCCUGGUGGCCACCCCGAGCCUCAACCACACCUACCUGCUGUGGCUGGAGAUGGUGGCAGGUGGCACAGCCCUGGGGUCACCGCCGGUGGCCCUGCAGCCCACGGACAUCGUGAAGCCUGAGGCCCCCGUGAAGCUGCGCCUGGAGCUGGCUGAGAGGGGCCAGGUGAAGCUCUGCUGGUCCAGCCCUGCCCCGCUGCCCUUCCCUCUGCAGCACCAAGUGAGGAUCUCUGCUCCUCCGGGACACGGGGACAGCCAGAUGCUUCAGGUUGCCCUGGAAAGCUCCGUGGCCAUGGACAAUUCCCUGCUGGAUUCUCCAUCCUCAGUGCAAGUGAGGAGCAGGAAUCUCCAUGGUCCAGGCUUCUGGAGUGACUGGAGCACACCCUACAACCUCACUUUGGGAGCUCAGGUGCUGUACUUCCCUCCCCGGAGCCUGACCAGCGCUGGCUCCAACCUCUCAUUCCUGUGCCUGUACACGAGCAGCACGCAGCCCGCGGAGGCCCAGGAGCUGGUCUGGUGGCUGAACCUAGCGGAGCAAAUCCCAGCCAGGCAAUAUUCCCUUGUCAGCAGCCGUGUGAGCAAAGUCACUCUCUUCAACCUGAAAGCCACCCAGCCCAGAGGAGGCUUCCUCUAUAACGCCCUGUACUGCUGUCACCAAAGCAGGGAGUGCCACCACAGAUACGCUGAGUUCUACGUAGUAGACAUGGAUUUUAAUAUCUCCUGUGAGACUGAUGGCUACCUGACUAAAAUGACUUGCAGGUGGUCUGCAAACCCAACCACCUUGCUCCUGGGGAGUCUGCAGUUAAGAUAUCACAGGAGUCAAAUUUAUUGCUCUGACUUUCCAAGCCCAUCUCCAAACUCAGAGGUGAAAGAAUGCCAUUUGCAGAGGAACCACUCCUACGAGUGCACCUUCCAGCCCAUUUUCCUGCUGUCUGGAUAUACCCUGUGGAUAGAGUUUAAACACUUCCUGGGAACCCUGGAAUCCUCCCCAACUUGUGUCAUCCCAGCAGAUGUGGUGAAGCCUCUCCCCCCUUCCAACGUGGGAGCAGAGCUCACCAGGAACACGGGGCUGCUGAACGUGAGCUGGACCCAGCCUGUCUUUGCCAGCAGGGAUCUGACAUUCCAGAUCCGCUGGAAUUCAGGGAGCAGGGAGGACAUUCCAUGGCAGCUCUAUGAAGUGCCAAAGCCUGCAGGCAGCUGGGCUGUGCUCCGAGUGCAGCAGCUCUGUGUGCAGUACGUGGUGCAGGUGCGCUGCAGGGAGCUGGAUGGAUCCGGCUACUGGAGUGACUGGAGCAGAGCAGCCCAAACCCUCGUUCAGGACAUCAGAGCUCCCUUGCAAGGCCCGGAAUUUUGGAGGAUCGUUUCUGAGGAUCCAGCAAGGAAGCAGAGGAAUGUUACCCUCCUCUGGAAGCCCCUGGUGCAGAAUCACUCGUUGUGCAGUGUGAGCAGAUACAUCAUAAAGCACCAGACCCCAGGGAACACCUCCUGGGAGGAGUUUGUGGAUCAUGGCACCAGCUGGACUUUCCCAUGGAUGGAGCCAACCCACACCGUCACCAUCUUAGCCAUGAAUUCAGUUGGAAUUUCUGCAAUUAAUUCUAAUUUAACUCUGUCCCAGCAAAUGAGCACAGUGGAUGCUGUGCAAUCCCUGAGUGCUUACCUGGUGAACAGCACCUGUGUGGUUGUGGUUUGGAGUCUCUCCCCCCAAAUCCCUGGGAUAAAAUCCUUUGUGAUCGAGUGGAGGAACCUGAACAAAGAGGAGCAGAUGAAAUGGCUGCGAGUUCCUCCAAAUCUCAGGAAAUAUUUCAUUUAUGAUCACUUUAUCCUGAUUGAGAAGUACCAGUUCAGCCUCUACCCUGUGUUUGCUGGAGGAGUUGGCAAAGCCAGAGCCACGGAUCAGUUUGCCAAAGGGGGAUUUGAAACUGGGAAUACUGGCAGCCUCCACGUGGUCCUGCCCAUUGUUUUUUCCACCUCAGUUCUGCUGCUGGGAGCGUUGCUGGUUUCACACCAAAGGAUGAAGAAGCUGCUCUGGGAGGAUGUUCCCAACCCCAAGAACUGCUCGUGGGCACAAGGAGUUAAUUUCCAGCAGGAUUGUUUCAGAAGGAGAAAUCAUCCAUGGAAUUGCCCUCGUUUUUUUGAGACUAUGACAAAUCCUUCCCACUUCCCAUCUCCUGCACCUGCCUGCUGCUUUAUGGAUGAGAAAUUCCAGUGGUUCCAUUCCAGCCCUGGCGUUGCUCCAGGGAAGUGUCUGCCUUUAAAAACUGCCCAGCAUUUUCAAAGUAAUAAAAAGCUUCAGUGGCUCCAUGAGCUCCUGCCCUUUUCCUAGGAAAGCUGGUGGGUCUUUUUCAGGGAAGCCACCCUGCUGGAGGGGAGCUGCCUGGCCUGCUGGUUUAUCCAUUUCCAUGCAGGCUUUGGGAAUCCACAGCAGCCUCCUCAGCCACUCCUGAGGAUGAAAAACCUCAUCAACACCUCCCAAAGGGAUUUUUGGAGGGGUGGGAUGCACAUCAUUCACUGCACAGCUGGUGCUCCAUGCACUUCUCCCAAAUAAAUCCCUAAUAAAGCUGCAGGAGGGAUGGAAUGCCUGCCCUGCACCUCUUCCCUCCUUGCUCAGCUUCUCUCUCCCUCUUGAUGUCAAACCCAACAAUUCUUCUACUGCUGGUGUGAAAUGGGGAGGGGAAAUUCCAUUGCCUGAUCCCAGCAUCUGUUAUAUCCCAUUUAAUUCCCAUUUAUUUGAUAUCCAUGAGCUUCUUCAGCUCCGUCAGCUGGAAGGACAGAUAAGGGAGCACAGACAUUCAUUAAUUGUGCCCAACCAAUUAAUUAAUUCACGGAUCUCUUACAGUAUCCGGGGUGUGUGUUUCCUUUCCCUGUUUCCAUCCUGUCCUGUUCAUCUCCCAACAAUCCACAGCCUCCCUCAGUUUUCACCUGAAUCCCUUUUCCUGGCACCAAGAUCUUUAUGGAAGAAGAGGGAGGAUGACAAAGCCAUUUGGGUUUGAUAAGCUGAGGGCACAGAGGGGAAAAAAAAUCCUGUGGGGAGUCUCUGUCUGGCUUUGCUUGGUGUGGGCAGUGCCAAGAAUCUCCUGAUCCUCCCUGAAAAGAGGGAUUUUGGAGGGGGGAGGGCACCAUGUCCAGAGUAAACCCAGAAAUUUGUGUAAAAUACCCCAAAAUGGCCUUAGUGGAGGUUCUGAGGCUGCCUUGGGGGUGCUGGAGGGCACAGGAACCAGGACCCCCUUCUGUUUAUAUCAGCCAUUCUCAUUCCAACUUCAUUUCCUGCUGCUCCCUUCCUGUUUUAAUGGGAAAUGUUUCCUUUGACAGGACCUCACCGAAUCCAUUUAUCCUGCUCUGUUCCAGCUCUCCUGCCACAUUUAUCACCCAAGGAUCUGAGUGCAUUCAACACAACCACAGACAUCUGCCAGCUUAUUUUUUCUCCCUCUCAGUCUCCUCAGGAGAAAAAAAAAAAGAAAUGAGUGCAACAGUUUUCCUAUUUUAGCAAGUUGGACUUUUCCCCCAGCCUCUCUCCCACAAACAUUGCUUUAGGUUUUUUUUUUUCUAGUAGAGAAAACAAAUCCCCACAGGAUCCACAUCCUCAGGUUUGAUCCUGAGACAGUUUUAGUUUCCAGAAACAAAGCUGGGCCACCCCUCCACUGCCCAGCUCUAGGGAAGGAGUCAGGAAUAUCAGGAAUACUCUUCCUCUCACCAGGCAGCCUUUUGGCUGGAGGAUUGGGAAUGUGGGAAUCUUGCACCACAACGGGACAGAAAUGGUCACAAGUCACAGGGAAAUGAGGAAAAGCAUCACCUGGACUGGUGAGAGCUCUGUGUCAACAAUGAAUCCCAAAAACCCUCCUGAGCUACUGCCUGAAGAGAUGAUCCCUGUGCAUCAUCUCCAUGGUGUUGGCACUUAAAAAAACCCCAUGGAAUGGUUUGGAUAGAGAGGGACCUUAAACCCAUUUAAUUCCAAGCUCUGCCGUGGCAGGGACACUCCCACUGUCCCAGGCUGCUCCAAACCCCAUCCAGCCUGGCCUUGGGCACUGCCAGGGAUCCAGGGGCAGCCACAGCUCCUCUGGGCACCCUGUGCCAGGGCCUGCCCACCCUGCCAGGGAACAAUUCCUGCCCAAAAUCCCAUCCAUCCCUGCCCUCUGGAAGCCAUUCCCUGUGUCCUGGCACUGCAGAACUCUGGAACACGGGUGUUCACCCACAAAUGUUCAUCCCCUGCCUGGUUUUGGGAAUUUGCCGGGGGAGGAACAUGGAGAAAAGGAUGUCCCCCUUCAGGGAGCAGCCUCAGCCUCGUUGUGCAUUAUCCUGGGAGUUCCUGUGUGGAAGGCAGCGGGAUCCCAGCUAAAAAUGGGGAAGAGAGGAGGUGCCUCCCUCCCGCCUGCUCCUGCUGAGGGAGCUGUCCAGUUCUGACUGCCCGGAGAAUUCCUCAUCCCCUUUGUGCUGCCACAGAGAUGCUCCCGGAGGUGCCUUUGGGCAGCUUCCCUGAGGACUCUCCCAGAAAUGGGGAGGUUUGGCCUGGAAGAGAAGCUGGAUAACCAAAAACCUCCAGGAUUUCACAGAAUCACAGAAGGGUGUGGAUUGAAAAGGACCUUGCAGAUGACCUCAAACCUGAUCUCAGAGCUGCUGUGUGUUACUGCUGCGUGUCUGAGAGCUCAGGCUGUGGGAAGGACAGAGGCAGUGAGUGCACAGGGCUGGUCGCUGGGAAGUGACCUUUUCCCAAGGCUGCCAGGAUCCCAGCUGGGUUUAUGGAUAUGAAGUCCUUUGGGAUGGUCAGAGCUUCUCAGCAGUGAAAAAUUGGUGCCUGUGAGGGGCACUUGGUAACUGCAGCAGGGCAGGGAGUGCUGCAGCUCUCAGGAUUCACUUUGGCGUGGAUCAGGAGUGCUCAGGGCCGCUGGAAUGUCUCAGGAGUGACUUCUUGGAGCUGGCUUGGCAGGCUCAGUGGGGGCAGAUGAGAGCAACGCGAGCCCACGAUGCGAUCGCAGCAGGAGCUCUGAGGAGCGCCUGCAUUUCAUCCUCCUGCUCUCAGCAUUCCCUCCCAGCAUCCAGGCUUCCAGGAGCAUGGCAGGGAAGAGAGGAGGAACCCUGGGAGCUGCUGCUGCCAGCUGCAGACAGGAACAGCCCCGUCCUUCCCAGCAGGCUGAAGCACUGCUGCUGUUCUUCCCAGCCUCUGGAAUUGCAUCCGUGACUCUGCCCGGAUCAGGAUUGCUGCUCUCUGCUGUUGCCAGGGAGCUGCAAAGCUUGGAUGUGCU